AACGCGAAGAACCUUACCAGCCUUUGACAUGGCGGGACGGCACCGAGAGAUUGGUGUCUUCACUUCGGUGACCCGCGCACAGGUGCUGCAUGGCUGUCGUCAGCUCGUGUCGUGAGAUGUUGGGUUAAGUCCCGCAACGAGCGCAACCCACGUCCUCAGUUGCCAUCAUUCAGUUGGGCACUCUGGGGAGACUGCCGGUGAUAAGCCGCGAGGAAGGUGUGGAUGACGUCAAGUCCUCAUGGCCCUUACGGGCUGGGCUACACACGUGCUACAAUGGCGGUGACAGAGGGACGCGAACCCGCGAGGGCCAGCCAAUCUCAAAAAGCCGUCUCAGUUCGGAUUGCACUCUGCAACUCGAGUGCAUGAAGGCGGAAUCGCUAGUAAUCGUGGAUCAGCAUGCCACGGUGAAUACGUUCCCGGGUCUUGUACACACCG
This 435-nucleotide ribosomal RNA is filed under the name uncultured bacterium. RNAcentral's name for it is "bacterial SSU rRNA". It matches the Rfam family "Bacterial small subunit ribosomal RNA", at positions 958 to 1392 of the family's 1533-position model. The record is from RNAcentral.